AAUAUCCUACGGGGGGCAGCAGUAGGGAAUCUUCGGCAAUGGACGAAAGUCUGACCGAGCAACGCCGCGUGAGUGAAGAAGGUUUUCGGAUCGUAAAACUCUGUUGGUAGAGAAGAACGUUGGUGAGAGUGGAAAGCUCAUCAAGUGACGGUAACUACCCAGAAAGGGACGGCUAACUACGUGCCAGCAGCCGCGGUAAUACGUAGGUCCCGAGCGUUGUCCGGAUUUAUUGGGCGUAAAGCGAGCGCAGGUGGUUUAUUAAGUCCGGUGUAACAGACAGUGGCACAACCAUUGUAUGCAUGGGA
RNAcentral lists this ribosomal RNA (305 nucleotides) under uncultured bacterium. RNAcentral describes it as "bacterial SSU rRNA". It matches the Rfam family "Bacterial small subunit ribosomal RNA", at positions 333 to 630 of the family's 1533-position model. The record is from RNAcentral.